GCCACCUCACAGAGGCUGGAUUCCUACUCCAUGUCCCACCCAGCUCAGAGGUUGGAUUCCCUGCUCCAUGUCCCACAUAUCUCACACAGGCUGGACUCCCAGGAGCAGUUGCUCCAGUAAGUUUUUGGGCUGAGGGAGCAGAGCGGACAAGCCGGAGCCCUCGCCGCGUCCCUGGGGAGGUCCGUGCAGGACAAGUGGAUCACGGGGAUAAGAGAAAAGAGGGACUUGGAAGAGGCGACAGGAAUCGAGGGCUUGUGCCAGCUUAUCCCCAAAUCAUAAACCAGGGAAAGACAAGGAAUGUGUGUAAAUAAAAGGAGUCAGGAGAGACCAUAAACCCACGUGUUGGUUUGGGAGAGAGGAGACACUGCAGCUGCCCUGGAGCAUCUCCACGGGAUGAACUACAGGAAUGGGAGGGA
Empidonax traillii (willow flycatcher) is the source of this 416-nucleotide long non-coding RNA. RefSeq lists it as uncharacterized. The transcript has 3 exons. The record is from RefSeq and is a predicted model, not a curated record. Lineage: Eukaryota; Metazoa; Chordata; Aves; Passeriformes; Tyrannidae.